CCUACGGGAGGCAGCAGUGAGGAAUAUUGGUCAAUGGCCGAGAGGCUGAACCAGCCAAGUCGCGUGAGGGAUGACGGCCCUACGGGUUGUAAACCUCUUUUGUCGGGGCGCAAAGAGAGUCACGUGUGGCUCAUUGAGAGUACCCGAAGAAAAAGCAUCGGCUAACUCUGUGCCAGCAGCCGCGGUAAUACGGCGGAUGCGAGCGUUAUCCGGAUUUAUUGGGUUUAAAGGGUGCGCAGGCGGAGGUGCAAGUCAGUGGUCAAAUUGCGGGGCUCAACCCCGUACUGCCGUUGAAACUGCAGCCCUUGAGUGCGCGAGAAGUAUGCGGAAUGCGUGGGGUAGCGGUGAAAUGCAUAGAUAGCACGCAGAACUCCGAUUGCGAAGGCAGCAUACCGGCGCGCAACUGACGCUCAUGCACGAAAGCGUGGGUAUCGAACAGGAUUAGAUACCCGGGUAGUC
RNAcentral lists this ribosomal RNA (459 nucleotides) under uncultured bacterium. RNAcentral describes it as "partial 16S ribosomal RNA". It matches the Rfam family "Bacterial small subunit ribosomal RNA", at positions 338 to 795 of the family's 1533-position model. The record is from RNAcentral.